RNAcentral lists this ribosomal RNA (333 nucleotides) under Triticum aestivum (bread wheat). RNAcentral's name for it is "partial small subunit ribosomal RNA". The record is from RNAcentral. Lineage: Eukaryota; Viridiplantae; Streptophyta; Magnoliopsida; Poales; Poaceae.
AUGGCGGAUUCACCUGCUACAUUACAAUACCUCGCUCCUUAUACGGGAGCAGCCCUGGCUGAGUAUUUUAUGUACCGCGAACGGCAUACUUUAAUAAUUUAUGAUGAUCUCUCCAAACAGGCACAAGCUUAUCGCCAAAUGUCCCUUCUAUUAAGAAGACCUCCCGGCCGUGAGGCUUAUCCAGGGGAUGUUUUUUAUUUGCAUUCACGCCUUUUAGAAAGAGCCGCUAAAUUAAAUUCUCUUUUAGGCGAAGGAAGUAUGACCGCUUUACCAAUAGUUGAGACUCAAUCUGGAGACGUUUCCGCCUAUAUUCCUACUAAUGUAAUCUCCAUA